Panonychus citri (citrus red mite) is the source of this 2711-nucleotide long non-coding RNA. RefSeq lists it as uncharacterized. Lineage: Eukaryota; Metazoa; Arthropoda; Arachnida; Trombidiformes; Tetranychidae. The record is from RefSeq and is a predicted model, not a curated record. The transcript has 4 exons.
GAAGAGGCAACAUUAUCCCUGAUGAUGAUGAUUCUUCAAUGGAAGUCAGCUCUUUUUAUCUGCUUCUUGUGUCGUUAUUCACAUGGAGGGAUGAGGAUGGAGAGACAAAAAAUAGCAAUAAUGAUACCUGUCAAGAUAAGAAUCAAUCCUUUUCUUGUAAUGCCGGAUGCUGAGGGUUGACUUGAAGUCUUUUUUUUUGCUUCUCCAUCAUGUUGAUGCUUGUUGCCUUAAUGAUGAUGCUUUAGAUGGACAUGAUAAAAUACUAUUAACUUGCAUAAACUUUACACCCCUGUUAAAAUAUCACUUGCAAUCAGUGCGUCAAAAGAUAAACAUUACAACAAUUUACAACAUUGACGAAGUGUGUCUUACAUUUACUAUGACAAAAACACGAGGGAUGAUGAAAACGAUGAUAAUCUUUCAUGAUGAUCAGCCUAAUGAUGAAAGCCUGAUGCCUGAUUACAGCUGAUGAUGAUGAUGAUAAACAUUGAGAGAGUUGUUUUUGUCUCGGAACAAAAAAGUUAUCCUUUUUACUCAUUUUCUUGGUGAUUCUUAAAAAAGUGAUUGCAAAAAAAAAGUUUGCUUUUUUUUCAUUCAGCAAACUUCAAGUAUAUCGACAAGAUUAUAAAUUGAUGUUGUUGUUUUGAUUUUUUUUUUGCUUCGAAACUUUUUUUUGGCCUCUCGCCUUUCAGAAAAGUUUUACGAGUCAUCAAAAUACUAUGAAAAUGUAAUAUAUUAUUUGGACUUUUUUUCUUAUCGAUUUGUAUCUCCCCAAUUCGCAGCAGAUUAACAUACACAAUGACGGGGAACGUGUGGCCUUUUCCGAUGCUGAUAAUGACUGAAUAUACACUUUGAAUAUAAUAUGUUUGCAUUACCUUAUCGUUUGUUUGUAUCUCGCUCAUCAUUUGACUUGCAGUUUCUAUUGUGAUGGAUUUACAUGAAUCGCUUUGAUUUGUUUUCCAAGGAGUAAAAUGAGAAUUCAGUUAAUCAUCAUCAUCAUCAUCAUCAUCUACAGAAACAGUAGCUGUUUAAAUGUUUUUUUCAAUGAUGAGAAUGAAAAUGAUCAUCAUCAGUCUCUUUCCCUCUUCUCAUCAAGUGAGAUCACGAACUUUUCAAUCAACAUUAACUAGUGUAAUGAGAGAGAAUGAAGGGAGUCAAAUGAUAUGGGAGGUAAAUGAAUGACGGGCUUGGAGAGACUUUGGAGGAAAGAGAGAGUGGGAAGUUGGAAGAGGAGAAAAGGAGCAAGGAUGAGGAAGGAGGCGAUGGAAAAUGUCACUUGCACUGUAUCCGUUUCCAUGAGUUUUUAUCUUGAUCCUUAUUUUUCAUGAAGCGAAUAUAUUUCAACACCAACGAACUUUGGAUUCUAGUGAAUUAGAUUGAAAUCUUUUGAUCUAAGAAGAGAAAAAAAAUCUUUUCUUUUCUUGAUCAUCUUCUUGGAAGAAGAACAAUGAAAGAAAAGUUUUCCAUCAUCAUCUUCAUCUCAACUUUACAAUGUAACAAUUUCUUGAUUGUUUACUUAUCUUAUCAUGUUUAUGAUGAUGAUGAUUCAACAAUCAACAUGAAAUUUGAAUUAAAUUCAACUCGAAAUUGAAAAAUAUAUUGAAAUUAACUACGAUAAUAUAAUCUUUUCCCAAUCUGUUUACUUUUCCAUUUGAUUCCAACAGGAAAAUCUACUGAUUGUUUACAAUCAAAUCUUAUUAAUUCCUAAAUCUAAUUAUUUUUGGCAUCAUCAAAAUCAAAGAGAUAACGACAAAUAUCAACCGUGACAAUGAUGAUGGAGGACAGAGAAGGAGCUGAAGAGAUGACACCAAAUUAAGUGGGAGUGAGAAGCAUAUUGCCGAUCAUCUUGAACCACAAACGAGAGAGAAAGAGAUGAAGAGAGUUAUCAUAAAUCCUAAUCGUCCCGUUAAUCCAAUUGUGAAACUCAAGCAUUCGGAUUAGCAUGAGAUUAGUAAAUUUAGUUUUUUUUCCUUUCAUAAACCUUCAACUUUUAAUCUCUGGUAAAAACAUGAACACACAACAAGAGUAAAAACAACAAUCUAAUAUUUGCAAUUCAAUAAUUGCAAUUGUAUUAAACCACAAUUGCUUUUUCCUCCCGCCGGUUAACCCUCUUCCCACUCCUCCCUUUUGAUUCAUUAUCAUUUGUUGAUGAUGAUGAUCAUCAUCAUCUUGAUCUUCUUUCUUUUAUCUUCUUUUACUGUUAUAUUUUAUUUACUAAACUUAAUCUUGUCACAACAACACUUUGUCACUAAUCCUCUUCCUCCUCCUUUUCCACCUUAAUCCUAAUCACACUAAAACCUUUAACAACUUCUUGUUAUUAUUAUUACGUGAGUGAUAUUAAUAAACAAUUAUCCACUUGGUGCAAUAAAUUAUUAUCAAUGUUAAUAAUUUAUUAGCCUUGAAUAUAACUGUUUACAUGGUUCAAGUUGGAUAUUUAUGUUUAGUCAAUUGAAUUGAAAAUUUUACUCAUGAAAAAGUGAAAAAUAGUUUCAUUGAAAUUGGAUAAGUUUCCAUUGACACUUCCAUGUCCACCUUCAUCAUUUGACAGGGGAGAGAGAGAGAGUGAGUGAGUGAGUGAGUAGGGUGGGUGAAGGUUAUUGUUAAAGUAACAUUUUUUUCAUCAUUAUAUCUUAAGGCGAAGUCAUUUUAACCUUUGGUAAAAAAAGUUAUGUUUCAAUGGAAGGAAAAAGUUCACCCAAGAGUCUCUUUUAUAU